GUAGUCAUAUGCUUGUCUCAAAGAUUAAGCCAUGCAUGUCUAAGUAUAAACAAAUUCAUACUGUGAAACUGCGAAUGGCUCAUUAAAUCAGUUAUAGUUUAUUUGAUGGUAACUUGCUACAUGGAUAACUGUGGUAAUUCUAGAGCUAAUACAUGCUGAAAAGCCCCGACUUCUGGAAGGGGUGUAUUUAUUAGAUAAAAAACCAAUGGGUGAAAGCCCUUCUUGGUGAUUCAUAAUAACUUCUCGAAUCGCAUGGCCUUGCGCCGGCGAUGCUUCAUUCAAAUAUCUGCCCUAUCAACUUUCGAUGGUAGAGUAGUGGUCUACCAUGGUAUCAACGGGUAACGGGGAAU
RNAcentral lists this ribosomal RNA (350 nucleotides) under uncultured fungus. Its description in RNAcentral is "SSU rRNA". It matches the Rfam family "Eukaryotic small subunit ribosomal RNA", at positions 20 to 370 of the family's 1831-position model. Lineage: Eukaryota; Fungi. The record is from RNAcentral.